UCCUACGGGAGGCAGCAGUGGGGAAUAUUGCACAAUGGGGGGAACCCUGAUGCAGCGACGCCGCGUGGGUGAAGGAGCACCUCGGUGCGUAAAGCCCUAUCGGCAGGGAAGAAACAGACGGUACCUGACUAAGAAGCCCCGGCUAACUACGUGCCAGCAGCCGCGGGAAUACGUAGGGGGCAAGCGUUAUCCGGAUUUACUGGGGGUAAAGGGGGCGCAGACGGCGAUGCAAGCCAGGAGUGAAAGCCCGGGGCCCAACCCCGGGACGGCUCCUGGAACUGCG
RNAcentral lists this ribosomal RNA (283 nucleotides) under uncultured bacterium. RNAcentral's name for it is "partial 16S ribosomal RNA". It matches the Rfam family "Bacterial small subunit ribosomal RNA", at positions 337 to 637 of the family's 1533-position model. The record is from RNAcentral.